AACGGCUAGGGACUGAGGUAUCUGUCUUAAUUUACCUUUUUAUUCUUUUUUUCCUGAAGUCAGUAUUUGUUUAAGCUAAUCAUUAAACCUGGUGUUAUGCAAAGAUAAGAAGGCUCUUCUUCAGAAUUUAGGGUUUGAUUUUGCCACCAAAAAUGUAUGACAUUCUUCAAUCAAAUGAUAUCAAUGAAAAGUAGCCAUUCUAAUAAUCAAAGCAUAGCUAUUGCCUGCAGUUCCAUGUAUUUCUAAGCGGGAGUCAUUGUGCUCUUAACUUUGAUGAUUUUUAAAUUCUGGAGACUAUAAUUUCAUAAAAGUAAAACCACAAAACAAAAUAGUUCUGCUGCCUACAACUUUCUAUGAAUGAAAUGAGCUUAUUUCAAAUUUGUACUUGUCAAAAGGAUGAGUUAUAUUACUGAUUUUCAUUUCAUGAUGCCCUGGGCUCUAGCUGUAUUGGACAGGAAAAAGGUGAUAGAUUUGUCUCCAAAAACUCAAUUUUGUUUUUUCAUUUUCUUCUUUGGACAUAAUUGCAAUGUGUCUACUGUUUGCAGUACUUUGUAGGCUAAAUACACACAUGAGAUAUGUUUAAGAAUUGUGGACAGUUAUGUCUUAAGUGUAACAUGAUUGGAUGGAUGCAGGCUUUAGAAUGCUGUUGUCAUUUGAAGUUUUGCUGUUAUGGUCUUCAAUUGAGGUUUUCCUUUCAUCUUUUAGGAUUUGGACCUGUAUGGAAUCCUGGCUGAGGUUGGAAGGCGUGGCAUAGCCUUUGAUGAAUUGCUAACUACACCAGAACAAGAUGAAUGGAUAUACAGUGAUGGGAAAUCAACAACAUGUGUUGCCUUCAUCCUUGCAAUGUAUAAGGAGGCUGGAGU
This 863-nucleotide unclassified non-coding RNA is filed under the name Hevea brasiliensis (rubber tree). The record is from RNAcentral. Lineage: Eukaryota; Viridiplantae; Streptophyta; Magnoliopsida; Malpighiales; Euphorbiaceae.